This 251-nucleotide ribosomal RNA is filed under the name uncultured prokaryote. RNAcentral's name for it is "partial 16S rRNA". It matches the Rfam family "Bacterial small subunit ribosomal RNA", at positions 525 to 775 of the family's 1533-position model. The record is from RNAcentral.
ACAGAGGGGGCAAGCGUUAUUCGGAAUUAUUGGGCGUAAAGGGCGCGUAGGCGGUUUGUUAAGUCAGAUGUGUAAUCCCCGAGCUCAACUUGGGAACUGCAUCUGAGACUGGGAGACUAGAGUACUGGAGAGGGUGGUAGAAUUCCACGUGUAGCGGUGAAAUGCGUAGAGAUGUGGAGGAAUACCAGUGGCGAAGGCGGCCACCUGGACAGUAACUGACGCUGAGGCGCGAAAGUGUGGGUAGCAAACAG